RNAcentral lists this ribosomal RNA (232 nucleotides) under Proteus mirabilis. Its description in RNAcentral is "partial 16S ribosomal RNA". It matches the Rfam family "Bacterial small subunit ribosomal RNA", at positions 65 to 293 of the family's 1533-position model. The record is from RNAcentral. Lineage: Bacteria; Pseudomonadati; Pseudomonadota; Gammaproteobacteria; Enterobacterales; Morganellaceae.
GGCGGCAGCACAGGAGAGCUUGCUCUCUGGGUGGCGAGUGGCGGACGGGUGAGGAAUACAUCGGAAUCUACUCUGUCGUGGGGGAUAACGUAGGGAAACUUACGCUAAUACCGCAUACGACCUACGGGUGAAAGCAGGGGAUCUUCGGACCUUGCGCGAUUGAAUGAGCCGAUGUCGGAUUAGCUAGUUGGCGGGGUAAAGGCCCACCAAGGCGACGAUCCGUAGCUGGUCU